UUGACGGGGGCCCGCACAGCGGUGGAGCACGUUGGUUUAAUUCGAUGCAAACCGAAGAACCUUACCGUGGGUUUGACAUGUACGUGGUACGGAUAUAGAAAGUUGAGGGACUCCGCUUUCGGGUGGAGAGCGUACACAGGUGCUGCAUGGCUGUCGUCAGCUCGUGUCGUGAGAUGUCGGGUUAAGUCCCGCAACGAGCGCAACCCCUGCAUUCAGUUGCCAUCGGGUGAAGCCGGGCACUCUGGAAGGACUGCCAUCGACAAGAUGGAGGAAGGUGGGGACGACGUCAAGUCAUCAUGGCCCUUAUGUCCAGGGCGACACACGUGCUACAAUGGCCGGCACAACGGGAAGCGAGUUCGCGAGGACGAGCGGAUCCCUUAAAGCCGGUCGCAGUUCGGAUUGAAGUCUGCAACUCGACUUCAUGAAGCUGGAAUCGCUAGUAAUCGCAGAUCAGCCAAGCUGCGGUGAAUACGUUCCCGGGCCUU
Molecule: ribosomal RNA, 485 nt
Filed under: uncultured Synergistaceae bacterium
Lineage: Bacteria; Thermotogati; Synergistota; Synergistia; Synergistales; Synergistaceae
Description: bacterial SSU rRNA
Rfam family: Bacterial small subunit ribosomal RNA
Source: RNAcentral